CUAAAGUAUGUACAUGUUUGUGUAUUUGGUGAAAAUAUGCUUAACAUGUUUUUUUGCUGAAUACAUCUUCUCUGUACUCCAGAGUGCGCCUGAGCAGUUUACGCUGGAGGAGAUUCCCAUCACCGAGUCAAAGGUCAGCAUGGACGUCAACUUUUCCGGCUCGUCUCCUGCAAAGAGAGUCAACUCAAAGAUUCCUCUCUGUUCAAAGCUCCAUGGACUC
Molecule: non-coding RNA, 220 nt
Organism: Danio rerio (zebrafish)
Lineage: Eukaryota; Metazoa; Chordata; Actinopteri; Cypriniformes; Danionidae
Source: Ensembl